CCAGUAUCUCCAGCAGCUCUGAAGCAAGCUUCGAGGCAGCCAUCUUGGUCCAGCUGCUUCAAUAAAUGGUCUGAAUGUGUUCCCCUCAAAAUUUAUAUGUUGAAACCUAACCUCCAAGGUGAUAGCAUUACAAGGUGGGGGCUAUGGAAGGUGAUUAGUUUACUAGGACAGGACCCUCAUGAAUGGGGUUAGUGUCCUUAUAAAAGAGACCCGAGAACAUCCCUGCCACUUUCUGCCAUUGAGGACACAGCAAGGAAUCCGCAGUCUGCAACCAGAAGAGGGCUUUCACCAGAACCCAACUGUGCUGGCAGCCUGAUCUUGGACUUCCAGCCUUCAGAACUGAACUGAGAGGAGGAAUGGGAAAGUUAAAAUGACAAAGUGGAACAGGGAGAACAGGAGAUUUCAGCCAAGGAAGCCUUUACAGAAGCAGAAGGCACCCCAGCAGCGAGACCAGCACCCCCAAGCUCCUUCCCCGAAACUACAUACACUCAGCAGCUCAGCAUCAGGCUGCCACAGCUUUGAACCGGAAGAAAACAAGGAAUGAUCAGCCCAUCGAGAAAAUGUCUCCCAAGAACCGAGAAUCCCAAGCAGAAAGAAUGAGAGCACACACUUGCACCACCACCAUUUGUUCCAGUAGACCUCAUGUUGCCCAAAACGUCCCAAGAGAUUAAAUAUCUCUGCCCUCGACCCCAUCCCGGCCAACCUUUCCUUCUCCCACAUCAGCCCAUUACCUUCCCACUCAUCCUGCUCCCUCCAGCUCAACACAUCAAGUCAGCUCAACUCAAUCACACAAAGCAAGAGAACUGCAUUUGAGACUCAAAACAUUCUCCAUUCAGUUAUGCAUGGAAGAGCCGAACAUAGCACUGGCAAAUACGUGGCAUAAGCCCUGGUCCUCCCUCCUCUGGUGCCAGAUCAGACAUCAAAAAUCACACUGUUUUCCAGCUGAUCCCAGACAAAGCUCCAAAACCCCUCUCCCAGCUCUCCAGGCAGCCACCAUCCAUCAGUCAAAGCUGUCAGUUGAGAUAAGAUCUACUUGCUAAGUAUAGGAAGACUUAAGUCAAACCAGGACUCUAUAUUCACGUAUUAGGUACAGCAAAGAAUAGUGACCAACUGCACAGUAGUAAGCACUCUGUAGGCAAUGAAUAAAUAUGUUCUAGUGACUUAUGCACAACCUGCCAUGCACCUAUAAAAUGUUCAAAAAUUACAGAAGAACUCUAAUAGGGUGAUUUGUUUGGGGAAUGACCUCAAAUUAUAACUCUUUUAUAUUUAAAUUUACUAAAAACUCUAAAAUUAUGGAAAUACAAACUGGUGGAGCCACUCUGGAAAACAGUAUGGAGGUUCCUCAAAAAAUUAAAAAUAGAACUGCCCUACUACCCAGCAAUUGCACUACUGGGGUACAGGAGUGCUGUUUCAAAGGGGCAGGCACAUGCACCCCAAUGUUUAUAGCAGUGCUAUUGACAAUAGCCAAAGUACGUAAAGAGCCCAAAUGUCUACUGACUAAUGAAUGGAUAAAAAAGAUGUGACAUAUAUCAAUGGAAUAUUACCAACGAUUAAAAAGAAUGAAAUCUUGCCAUUUGCAACAACGUGGAUGGAAUUGGAAUGUAUUAUGCUACGUGAAAUAAGCCAGUCAGAGAAAGACAAACAUGAUUUCACUCAAAUGUGGAAUUUAAGAUACAAAACACAUGAACAUAAAGGAAGGGAAGAAAAAUAAUAUAAAAACAGGGAGGGAGACAAACCAUAAGAAACUCUUACUAAAGACAGAGA
Neofelis nebulosa (Clouded leopard) is the source of this 1764-nucleotide long non-coding RNA. RefSeq lists it as uncharacterized. The transcript is spliced from 5 exons. The record is from RefSeq and is a predicted model, not a curated record. NCBI's taxonomy places the organism in Eukaryota, Metazoa, Chordata, Mammalia, Carnivora, Felidae.